Papaver somniferum (opium poppy) is the source of this 675-nucleotide long non-coding RNA. RefSeq lists it as uncharacterized. The record is from RefSeq and is a predicted model, not a curated record. NCBI's taxonomy places the organism in Eukaryota, Viridiplantae, Streptophyta, Magnoliopsida, Ranunculales, Papaveraceae. The transcript is spliced from 4 exons.
AACUUCUCAAAACUGAAAAACCACCGAAUAGAAGUGGUUCCUAUGUUUUCGUCUUUUGGUGUUAUAAAAAAUAAAUAAAAUCUGUUUGAACUUCUCUUCGAUUUUCUGAUUUUUUUCUCCUCACAUCUCGAUCCAACUCGAAAAACCCACUGCGUACGAGAGGUACAAACAUGAUUCAAGUGAAGAUUUUGGAAAAAGACUGAGGAAGAUACACAGGAACAAUAGCAUCAAAGAAUUUAUCCAAAGAGAUUUCCAGUAGUUGCAGACCACUUGUUAGAAAGAAGACUGCAGUAUGCCUUCUAAGGUUGCACAAAAAGAAUCCCGAUAUUGUCAAUCUAGAUGGGUGGACUGGUGAUGACUGGAUGCGUUUUGAGGAAUCUAAAGAAGCAAGCAGUUGUGGCAGGGGGUUAAUUUAGUACACCACCAAAUGUUAAAUUUAAUACACCAACAAAUGAUCAUCAAUAGCAAUAUGGAGCUGUGUUGGAGACAGAAGACUUGGAGAAAUUUUCUAGGGGAUGGCCACAACAGCACGUACAACUUUUGCACCUCGUAGUGACAUCAUACUAUUUUUUAUUUUUUUUCUUCUUUGGUGUUUUGAAUAUGAAUGAAGUAUGUAUUUUUUUUUGUUAAACUUGAGGAUGUUUGUUAUCAAGUGUUAAAUUAAAUCAAGUUGAU